CACUAUCCACAAUAAGGGAACAUGUGUUGUGUAAGAUUUUGCAUCUAGUGUGAAAGAUGUUUUCCUUUUGUGUGUGGUCUUGUGAACUAGGUUGAUUAUGGAGAACCCUUCUUAUCAUAAGAAGUUCUCCCUCACAAGGAUGGGCAUCCUCACUUGGGCUUUCUUCUUCUUUCUUUGCACUACUUCUCUCAUUCUCACUCUCACUUUCCUCAUCUUGGAUACUAUAUAAAUCAAUACACCUCAAGAUCAUGGUCUUUUUCGUGGGACAUUGUGAUGCAAUAUGACCUCUACCAAGACACUUGAAACACUUAAUUUCACUAGUGUGAGUGUGAGAUGAUGUUCCUACCCUUGGCCUCUCUUUUUCUUUCUCUUCUCUCUUCUCCCUUCCUAGAUUCCUAAAGGGUUCUUCUUCUAACACUUGCUUACCCUCUCUUUUGUAGUCUUUCUUAAUAUUAGAGCUAGAGUGAAGCUUGCUUCUCAAAAUUUGUUGUUCACUUUGAUGCUUAAUUGUACCAAAUCAUUCAAAUCUUGAUACGGUAACAACUCCACGUUAUCUCUAAUUUCAAGUUUAAGACCACUAAGAAACCUAGAGAUGGUGAUCUCAUUCUCCUCUCUAAUUCCCGCCCUCAUCAUAUAGAGCUCCAUCUUUUGCCUUUACUCCUCUACACUUAACUUCCUUUGUUGGAGCCUUUGGAGUUUGACCAUAAGCUCUCUAUCGUAGUAAAAGGGUAUGUGCCUCCU
Molecule: long non-coding RNA, 741 nt
Filed under: Vigna radiata
Lineage: Eukaryota; Viridiplantae; Streptophyta; Magnoliopsida; Fabales; Fabaceae
Description: long non-coding RNA (VRAD_LNC010324)
Source: RNAcentral